RNAcentral lists this ribosomal RNA (253 nucleotides) under uncultured bacterium. Its description in RNAcentral is "partial 16S ribosomal RNA". It matches the Rfam family "Bacterial small subunit ribosomal RNA", at positions 524 to 776 of the family's 1533-position model. The record is from RNAcentral.
UACGUAGGUGGCAAGCGUUGUCCGGAAUUAUUGGGCGUAAAGCGCGCGCAGGCGGUCCUUUAAGUCUGAUGUGAAAGCCCACGGCUCAACCGUGGAGGGUCAUUGGAAACUGUUAGACUUGAGUGCAGAAGGGGAGAGUGGAAUUCCAUGUGUAGCGGUGAAAUGCGUAGAUAUAUGGAGGAACACCAGUGGCGAAGGCGACUGUCUGGUCUGUAACUGACACUGAGGCGCGAAAGCGUGGGGAGCAAACAGG